This 763-nucleotide long non-coding RNA is filed under the name Marmota monax (woodchuck). Lineage: Eukaryota; Metazoa; Chordata; Mammalia; Rodentia; Sciuridae. The record is from RNAcentral.
GUUGGUGAUGGCCUCUGACAUUCUUUAGGGGCUGGCUUUCCAACUAGACCUUUUUUCCUUGCAAGUUGUCCUUGAGUAGCUGACCUUUUUAAGUGGUGACUAAGUGAACCUGGUUUCAGGAACACAGCCAUGAUGCUCCGCCUCACCACAGGGCCAAGCAAGCAGGGGCCGGAACCUCUGAAACUGAGCCAAAAUAGACCUUCCUCCUUAUAAAUGGGUUUUCUUAAGUACUUUGUCACAGCAAUGGAAUUUGAGUAGCACAGAGACUUGGCACCCAGAAUAGGGUCAUUGCUUGACCAUCCCUGAAUGUGGUUCAUAAGACUUUGUAAUUGGUUUGGGGGCGAAAUUUCCAAACAUUUAGAGAUAAAGCCUAGAGAAAGCUUGGAGUGCUGUAAACAGAGCUAGUAGGCAAUUCUGACUGGAGAUUAGCAGAUAGUAAAGACUGCUCAUGAGGUGUCAGAAGGGAAGGAGGACUCCACUGGGAAUUGGAGUACAGAACAUUCAGGCCACAUUCCGGCAAAGAACUUGCCUAUAUUUUGUCCAUGCCCUGAGACUUUGUGUGAGUCUGAGUUUAAAGGUGAAGGUGAUGGACUGGUUUAUCUGGUGGAGAACAUUUCAAGGCAGCACAGUGUCCAGGCUGCAGCAUGGACAUUGAUGGACUGCUUUUAGCCAUAUUUAAAGUGAGAAUCUAGAGCAAAAAACAGUGAGAAGUUUUGAAAACCUUGAAGUUUGACUAGAAAGGGGACACAUAUAGAGUUGUGGC